UGGGGAAUAUUGGUCAAUGGGCGGAAGCCUGAACCAGCCAUGCCGCGUGCAGGAAGACGGCCUUCUGGGUUGUAAACUGCUUUUAUACAGGAGUAAAAUGGCUCUGCGGAGCGGAUUGCAAGUACUGUAUGAAUAAGCACCGGCUAACUCCGUGCCAGCAGCCGCGGUAAUACGGAGGAUGCGAGCGUUGUCCGGAUUUAUUGGGUUUAAAGGGUGCGUAGGCGGUUAUUUAAGUCAGUGGUGAAAACCCUGAGCUCAACUGAGGGCUUGCCAUUGAUACUGGGUAACUUGAUUACCGUAUAGGUAGGCGGAAUUUAUGGUGUAGCAGUGAAAUGCAUAGAUACCAUAAAGAACACCGAUAGCGAAGGCAGCUUACUGGACGUGUAAUGACGCUGAUGCACGAAAGCGUGGGUAGCGAACGGGAUUAGAUACCCCUGUAGUCC
RNAcentral lists this ribosomal RNA (443 nucleotides) under uncultured prokaryote. Its description in RNAcentral is "bacterial SSU rRNA". It matches the Rfam family "Bacterial small subunit ribosomal RNA", at positions 355 to 796 of the family's 1533-position model. The record is from RNAcentral.